UUUCUUUUUGUCGAGGGGAGUUGAGGCGACUCGCAGGGUUGCCGCUCGUCGCUCCUCUUCUGGCGGCGGUGUUUCGCCGCUGUCCGGCGGCGGCGGCUCGUCGCUUCUCGCUGUGGAGACUGGCCGCUCUCUCGCGUGGUGAUUAGUCGGCGACUUCCCGCUCGGCUGCUCUUCAUUGGAGGGUAUUUUGUUUGUUUGUAUUCGCGGCGGCGUCUUCCGUCGUUGGUUAGCGUUUCUGGGCGUGUUCAUUGGCAUCUCCUUGUCUUCCUUGUCAAGGGAUAUUGUAAGAUUACACGGCGUGCCCAAAACAAUUGUUUCAGACCGUGACACCAAGUUCUUGAGCUACUUUUGGAAGACAUUAUGGGCAAAGCUUGGAACAAGGCUGCUGUUUUCCACCACUUGUCAUCCUCAAACGGAUGGACAAACUGAAGUUGUAAAUAGAACACUU
This is a long non-coding RNA of Sorghum bicolor (sorghum), 448 nucleotides long. RefSeq lists it as uncharacterized. The record is from RefSeq and is a predicted model, not a curated record. Lineage: Eukaryota; Viridiplantae; Streptophyta; Magnoliopsida; Poales; Poaceae. The transcript is spliced from 2 exons.